Molecule: ribosomal RNA, 443 nt
Filed under: uncultured bacterium
Lineage: Bacteria
Description: partial 16S ribosomal RNA
Rfam family: Bacterial small subunit ribosomal RNA
Source: RNAcentral
AUAUUGCGCAAUGGGCGAAAGCCUGACGCAGCAACGCCGCGUGAUCGAUGAAGCUUCAAGGAGUGUAAAGAUCUGUCCUAAGGGAAGAAUGGUUCCAAGUCGAAUAGGCUUGGUUCGUGACGGUACCUUAGAAGAAAGCGCCGGCUAACUUCGUGCCAGCAGCCGCGGUAAUACGAGGGGCGCAAGCGUUGUCCGGAUUCAUUGGGUGUAAAGGGUGCGCAGGUGGAUUUGUAAGUUGGAAUUUAAAUCCCGCAGCUUAACUGCGGACCUGGUUUCAAAACUGCAGAUCUUGAGUUCGAAAGAGGGGAGUGGAAUUCCUAGUGUAGCGGUGGAAUGCGUAGAUAUUAGGAGGAACACCAGUGGCGAAGGCGGCUCUCUGGUUCGAUACUGACACUAAGGCACGAAAGCGUGGGGAGCAAACAGGAUUAGAUACCCUCGUAGUC